AAACAUGUAAACAACGCUGGAUUUUAAACGUCUAUAAAAACACAUCUUGCAUGUUUUACGUGGACGGAAAUGCAUUCAACACAUUUGUUUUGACCUCAACGCUUCACGCAAUGAGUUCUGUUUUUCAUCCGGAGCGCAGAUACGUGUCGUGAUGAAGACGAUGAAGACGAUGAAGAAGAGAAGUCGUGAACGCUUCCUGCUGUGUUUUCUAGAUGUCCCGUCCUGUCUCCGAAAACCACUUCGUACCUCGAGGGCAACUCUCCAGGAAGUAACCGAACCGUGUAAUUACGUCGUCACGUGAUGCUCUGUGGCCCUAAAAGACUUUUCCCCAUAAGCUUUUUAUAACGGUGGAUCAUGACUCAUUCCACUGUGAGAAUCUGAGCCUUUUGGUCCGAUAUCUGGGCUGGCUGCGGCUUCCGUUGGCGGCCAGCGCUCCUGCUGCUCGCACACCUGCAGCCCGUCUGAUCAUCAUCUGCACGAUCGCUGCCAGAUUGUUUUCCACUCGACGCCGUGGUAUCUAUGGCCGCGCCCCGCGUACAACUUCCAGUGACUUUUUACUUGUGUGUUAUUUGGAAACUUGCAUGAUUUUUCGUCUCCUCGUUGUUCCUGGAGCCUGAGCCACUCCGAGCUCCAGCUGCACAGCCACUCUGCAGCCCAGCCUCCUGCCAGAACCCUCUGAACCUCCACCUGAACCUCCACCUGAGCCUCCACCUGAACCUCCACCUCAGCCUCCACCUGAACUUCCACCUCAGCCUCCACCUGAACCUCAGAAGCUGAAUAAAUCCCUGCUGAUGUUUCCCCAGUCCUCCUGUCAGCUGUUGAGUCUGACUAAAUUAAACCCUCCCUAUUGUAACCGUUGGGGGUUUCCCUUUCCUUUAUUGUGUUAUGAAACAUUUUUCUGCAUGUAAAAGUUCUGCAAAGUUAAAAAGUCCAAAGGUCCACGCCUCAGGAAACACUGCUGCACUGCCUGAAACUGAAAAUAUGCAUCACAAUGCAACAGACCUUAAUUAAAUAUAUAAAUAUAUGUACUUAUACAUUAUUAUAGAAUGCAUAUGACUGUACUGCAGCCAUGGUUACCAGCUGUAGCUGUUAUUUUUGAUCACACUACCUUGCUCGGCAUGGUCCGCCCUUCUCUGCCUCUGAUUGGCUACAUCCUGCCUGUUAAGUGAUGCACAUAUGCAACUCUCA
Molecule: long non-coding RNA, 1188 nt
Organism: Acanthopagrus latus (yellowfin seabream)
Lineage: Eukaryota; Metazoa; Chordata; Actinopteri; Spariformes; Sparidae
Exons: 3
Source: RefSeq, a predicted model, not a curated record